This 111-nucleotide ribosomal RNA is filed under the name Hoyosella rhizosphaerae. Lineage: Bacteria; Bacillati; Actinomycetota; Actinomycetes; Mycobacteriales; Hoyosellaceae. The record is from RNAcentral.
GUGGUGUUAGCAGAGUGGGAAACGCCCGGUCCCAUUCCGAACCCGGAAGCUAAGCCCUCUUGCGCCGAUGGUACUGCACUCGUUGGGGUGUGGGAGAGUAGGUCACUGCCG